Molecule: ribosomal RNA, 476 nt
Filed under: uncultured bacterium
Lineage: Bacteria
Description: bacterial SSU rRNA
Rfam family: Bacterial small subunit ribosomal RNA
Source: RNAcentral
AUUGAACGCUGGCGGCAUGCCUUACACAUGCAAGUCGAACGGUAACAGGUUAAGCUGACGAGUGGCGAACGGGUGAGUAAUGUAUCGGAACGUGCCCAGUCGUGGGGGAUAACUACUCGAAAGAGUGGCUAAUACCGCAUACGACCUGAGGGUGAAAGCGGGGGACCGUAAGGCCUCGCGCGAUUGGAGCGGCCGAUAUCAGAUUAGGUAGUUGGUGGGGUAAAGGCUCACCAAGCCGACGAUCUGUAGCUGGUCUGAGAGGACGACCAGCCACACUGGGACUGAGACACGGCCCAGACUCCUACGGGAGGCAGCAGUGGGGAAUUUUGGACAAUGGACGCAAGUCUGAUCCAGCCAUGCCGCGUGCGGGAAGAAGGCCUUCGGGUUGUAAACCGCUUUUGUCAGGGAAGAAACGACUCCUUCUAAUACAGGGGUUAAUGACGGUACCUGAAGAAUAAGCACCGGCUAACUACGUG